GAUGAACGCUGGCGGCGUGCCUAAUACAUGCAAGUCGAGCGAACGGACGAGAAGCUUGCUUCUCUGAUGUUAGCGGCGGACGGGUGAGUAACACGUGGAUAACCUACCUAUAAGACUGGGAUAACUUCGGGAAACCGGAGCUAAUACCGGAUGAUAUUUUGAACCGCAUGGUUCAAAAGUGAAAGACGGUCUUGCUGUCACUUAUAGAUGGAUCCGCGCUGCAUUAGCUAGUUGGUAAGGUAACGGCUUACCAAGGCAACGAUGCAUAGCCGACCUGAGAGGGUGAUCGGCCACACUGGAACUGAGACACGGUCCAGACUCCUACGGGAGGCAGCAGUAGGGAAUCUUCCGCAAUGGGCGCAAGCCUGACGGAGCAACGCCGCGUGAGUGAUGAAGGUCUUCGGAUCGUAAAACUCUGUUAUUAGGGAAGAACAUAUGUGUACGUAACUGUGCACAUCUUGACGGUACCUAAUCAGAAAGCCACGGCUAACUACGUG
This 497-nucleotide ribosomal RNA is filed under the name uncultured bacterium. RNAcentral describes it as "partial 16S ribosomal RNA". It matches the Rfam family "Bacterial small subunit ribosomal RNA", at positions 28 to 507 of the family's 1533-position model. The record is from RNAcentral.